This is a long non-coding RNA of Cyprinus carpio (common carp), 480 nucleotides long. NCBI's taxonomy places the organism in Eukaryota, Metazoa, Chordata, Actinopteri, Cypriniformes, Cyprinidae. The record is from Ensembl.
AUGGCUCAUCCUACACAUCUGCAGUCCAAACCUGAUCCAGAACAGUUCUGCCGGGAUGGGGGGUUUGAAUGUCCCUGCUGCAGUUUCACCACUGAAGAGAAGUUCUCUUUUACACUUCACCUAGAGAACCACAUAAGUCAUGCAGUGGAGCAUGGAGGUUACUUCAUCUUAAAAUGCAAUAAACAGUGCAGGACCACAGCCCAUUUUCACUGUCUUUACUGCAGCCAGACAGUAAUAUGCAAGGACCAAUACAUAAGGCAUGUUUCCCAGUGCUUGAAGACAGAAGAAUUUGCAGCACCACCUCCACCUCCCUCUGUAGCUGCAUUUCCGACACCACCAUCCCCAGCUACUUCUGUUUCAAUGCCUCCCGUCUCUACCCCCCUUUCCUCUGAUCCUGGCACCUUUGCAGCACCCCCCCCAUCCCACUCCCUCAAAUUGUGGACUGACACUUAACAGGAGAAAUGUAAAGCUGCAUAUUCU